CCUACGGGUGGCAGCAGUGGGGAAUAUUGGACAAUGGGCGAAAGCCUGAUCCAGCCAUGCCGCGUGUGUGAAGAAGGCCUUCGGGUUGUAAAGCACUUUCAGUGGGGAAGAAAGCCUUGUGGCUAAUACCCUCGAGGAAGGACAUCACCCACAGAAGAAGCACCGGCUAACUCCGUGCCAGCAGCCGCGGUAAUACGGAGGGUGCGAGCGUUAAUCGGAAUUACUGGGCGUAAAGCGCGCGUAGGCGGUCUGAUAAGCCGGUUGUGAAAGCCCCGGGCUCAACCUGGGAACGGCAUCCGGAACUGUCAGGCUAGAGUGCAGGAGAGGAAGGUAGAAUUCCCGGUGUAGCGGUGAAAUGCGUAGAGAUCGGGAGGAAUACCAGUGGCGAAGGCGGCCUUCUGGACUGACACUGACGCUGAGGUGCGAAAGCGUGGGUAGCAAACAGGAUUAGAUACCCGGGUAGUC
Molecule: ribosomal RNA, 465 nt
Filed under: Vreelandella stevensii
Lineage: Bacteria; Pseudomonadati; Pseudomonadota; Gammaproteobacteria; Oceanospirillales; Halomonadaceae
Description: partial 16S ribosomal RNA
Rfam family: Bacterial small subunit ribosomal RNA
Source: RNAcentral